This 222-nucleotide unclassified non-coding RNA is filed under the name Hevea brasiliensis (rubber tree). Lineage: Eukaryota; Viridiplantae; Streptophyta; Magnoliopsida; Malpighiales; Euphorbiaceae. The record is from RNAcentral.
GGAUAGGAUCUGACGCUGAGGCAUGAGAUAGUGCAUUACACCAAAGAGACCCUUCUUCAUCUCCCCGGCAUACUGUGUGCCGAGGAUAACCAUUUCCCUUCUAGCAAGAUUAAGAUCUAUGCUGGUGGAUGAAGUCAUGUAAUGUGUGUAACGGUUACACGGGAACUGUCCUGCGUUGUAUAUUGUGAAGUCCGGAGUACCAAAGUCCUCCAGUUCUUCAGG